GUUGAAAAUGUUUUUGAAAA
Molecule: non-coding RNA, 20 nt
Filed under: Rattus norvegicus (Norway rat)
Lineage: Eukaryota; Metazoa; Chordata; Mammalia; Rodentia; Muridae
Source: RNAcentral